Ornithorhynchus anatinus (platypus) is the source of this 1265-nucleotide long non-coding RNA. RefSeq lists it as uncharacterized. The record is from RefSeq and is a predicted model, not a curated record. The transcript has 5 exons. Lineage: Eukaryota; Metazoa; Chordata; Mammalia; Monotremata; Ornithorhynchidae.
CCGCCGACGCCCUCGGCCCCCUGGCACUGGGGAAGCGCUCACCGUGCGCCCAGCACUCUUCUGAGCGCUGCGGAAGAGGCGAGCCCAUUUGGACAGCUUUUUCCAAAAAUUGGGUUGAUAGAAACUGCACUGCUUAAUGAUGAUCCAGGCUAAAUGUAUUUAACUGAAUACCCUACAAUGAUACGAUGGACAUUAUACAACAAGUUAUGCAGCCUGUUGGUGGUGGUAUUUACUGCUCAUCUGUCCUCCCUUGAAUAGAACACAAGGAGAAUGCAAAGACUCUAAGAUGGCGAUUACGGCGAGAUCUGUGAAAUCUUUGGCCAUCUCUUGUGUUCCACGUUGAAGAAUGUUUGAAAGUAUUUAAGCAGAGUGUUUCCUCCAGGCUCACAAGUCUUUAGCAAUUAUACCAGCAGUUCCAAGUGCUUUUCCAUUUUCCAUGGCUCUGAUUGCCGACUUCCUCAAAAGUUGGGCCAUGUGACAGAGACUUUGUUAGCUGCUUUUCACCUUCUGUAUACCAAAUAUUGGCGGCACCAGCAGGUCUGUUUUUCAACUCUGGGCUAGAAAAUCCAGCAACAGAGCUUUCUUCAGUCUCAUAUUUAUCCAUUCUAUUGGACUCUGAUCUCUGAAGAUUCUGAACUCCCAUCCAGGGUGCAUCUAAGUCUUUUAUCCAAAGAAAAAGAGAUUCAAGUUUAAAACAAGGCAAAGGAUUAAAAUAAGUUAUGCUGCAGUCACAUGCGCAGCAAAUGGGUCCUUCAUUUUGGCGGUACAUGGGCCCACGUGUCAAAACCAGCUUUGCAUACCCUUUGGAUUGAGCUGCAUCCCUGACUGCAUAUUUCCUCAAAGCAUUCCAGGAACUAGUUGCCCACUGGGAACCCUACGGAUGGCAGAAAUGGCAUCACUCUUUCCAAAAUCAGUUCUUCAACAUGGGGUCUUGGUGUUUCAGGACCAAGGCUCAUCUAUCAUUUGCCAAGAUAGACCCCAUCAUUAUCAAAAACAAGCUUAACUUAAUGGACUUUUGCAUUAAACGGUAGUUGAAAAAUGUACAAUUACCCUUUUAUUCAUUAUUUAUGGACACACUUAUACAUUGUUACGGGUAAAAUACCAAUUUCAAUUUUGUUUGUAAUGACGAUUUAUGUACCUUAAAAUGAUUUUAAUUCAUGGAUGCACUACAUAUUGGAUUUUUAAUAUUUUAAGUGUAUGGACUUUUUCACACGGAAUUUUCACACCUCCAAAAUGCUACCUAAAUAAAAUUUAUACUCACGAUA